CAAUAGCGUAUAUUAAAGUUGUUGCAGUUAAAAAGCUCGUAGUUGGAUUUCUGGUGGGAGCGAUCGGUCUGGCGCUUAGCGCGAGUACUUGCAUCGUCUCCGGCCAUCCUUGGGGAGAGUCUGUCUGGCAUUAAGUUGUCGGGCAGAGGAUCCUCAUCGUUUACUGUAAAAAAUUAGAGUGUUCAAAGCAGGCUUAUGCCGUUGAAUAUAUUAGCAUGGAAUAAUAAGAUAGGACUUUGGUACUAUUUUGUUGGUUUGCGCACCAAAGUAAUGAUUAAUAGGGACAGUUGGGGGUAUUCGUAUUCCGUUGUCAGAGGUGAAAUUCUUGGAUUUACGGAAGACGAACUACUGCGAAAGCAUUUACCAAGGAUGUUUUCAUUA
Molecule: ribosomal RNA, 381 nt
Filed under: uncultured eukaryote
Lineage: Eukaryota
Description: partial 18S ribosomal RNA
Rfam family: Eukaryotic small subunit ribosomal RNA
Source: RNAcentral